UGAACGCUGGCGGCGUGCUUAACACAUGCAAGUCGAACGCUGAAGCUCCCAGCUUGCUGGGGGUGGAUGAGUGGCGAACGGGUGAGUAUCACGUGAGUAACCUGCCCUUGACUCUGGGAUAAGCCCGGGAAACUGGGUCUAAUACUGGAUAGGACUGGCCAUCGCAUGGUGGUUGGUUGAAAGCUUUUGCGGUUUUGGAUGGACUCGCGGCCUAUCAGCUUGUUGGUGGGGUAAUGGCCUACCAAGGCUUUGACGGGUAGCCGGCCUGAGAGGGUGACCGGCCACACUGGGACUGAGACACGGCCCAGACUCCUACGGGAGGCAGCAGUGGGGGAUAUUGCACAAUGGGCGCAAGCCUGAUGCAGCGACGCCGCGUGAGGGAUGACGGCCUUCGGGUUGUAAACCUCUUUCAGUUGGGAAGAAGCCUUUCGGGGUGACGGUACCUUCAGAAGAAGCACCGGCUGACUACGUGCCAGCCGCAGC
RNAcentral lists this ribosomal RNA (483 nucleotides) under uncultured bacterium. RNAcentral describes it as "bacterial SSU rRNA". It matches the Rfam family "Bacterial small subunit ribosomal RNA", at positions 30 to 518 of the family's 1533-position model. The record is from RNAcentral.